GAAUGCUGACAUAAGUAACGAUAAAGCGGGUGAAAAGCCCGCUCGCCGGAAGACCAAGGGUUCCUGUCCAACGUUAAUCGGGGCAGGGUGAGUCGACCCCUAAGGCGAGGCCGAAAGGCGUAGUCGAUGGGAAACAGGUUAAUAUUCCUGUACUUGGUGUUACUGCGAAGGGGGGACGGAGAAGGCUAUGUUGGCCGGGCGACGGUUGUCCCGGUUUAAGCGUGUAGGCUGGUUUUCCAGGCAAAUCCGGAAAAUCAAGGCUGAGGCGUGAUGACGAGGCACUACGGUGCUGAAGCGACAAAUGCCCUGCUUCCAGGAAAAGCCUCUAAGCAUCAGGUAACAUCAAAUCGUACCCCAAACCGACACAGGUGGUCAGGUAGAGAAUACCAAGGCGCUUGAGAGAACUCGGGUGAAGGAACUAGGCAAAAUG
This 430-nucleotide ribosomal RNA is filed under the name Escherichia coli. RNAcentral describes it as "partial 23S ribosomal RNA". It matches the Rfam family "Bacterial large subunit ribosomal RNA", at positions 1292 to 1724 of the family's 2925-position model. The record is from RNAcentral. Lineage: Bacteria; Pseudomonadati; Pseudomonadota; Gammaproteobacteria; Enterobacterales; Enterobacteriaceae.